UCCCCGGUAGCUCAGCGGUAGAGCGCCCGCCUGUUAAGCGGUAGGUCGAUGGUUCGAAUCCAUCCCGGGGAGCCA
RNAcentral lists this transfer RNA (75 nucleotides) under Candidatus Saccharimonadota bacterium. Its description in RNAcentral is "tRNA-Asn". It matches the Rfam family "tRNA". Rfam says of the family: Transfer RNA (tRNA) molecules are approximately 80 nucleotides in length. Their secondary structure includes four short double-helical elements and three loops (D, anti-codon, and T loops). Further hydrogen bonds mediate the characteristic L-shaped molecular structure. tRNAs have two regions of fundamental functional importance: the anti-codon, which is responsible for specific mRNA codon recognition, and the 3' end, to which the tRNAs corresponding amino acid is attached (by aminoacyl-tRNA synthetases). tRNAs cope with the degeneracy of the genetic code in two manners: having more than one tRNA (with a specific anti-codon) for a particular amino acid; and 'wobble' base-pairing, i.e. permitting non-standard base-pairing at the 3rd anti-codon position. The record is from RNAcentral. Lineage: Bacteria; Candidatus Saccharimonadota.